This is a long non-coding RNA of Sapajus apella (tufted capuchin), 635 nucleotides long. RefSeq lists it as uncharacterized. NCBI's taxonomy places the organism in Eukaryota, Metazoa, Chordata, Mammalia, Primates, Cebidae. The transcript is spliced from 2 exons. The record is from RefSeq and is a predicted model, not a curated record.
GCCCUCCUCCCUCCGGCGGCCCCUCCCCAGCCCUGGCUUCUCCAGUGCCCCUAGGCAAGUGGACUGCAACUUAGAUGUGACUCUUUCCUUCACAGAAGUCCCUUUCUUUCCUUGUGGCCUCCUAACUUGGGGACUGUGGCCUCUUGCUUCUCUCCCCCUUGAGGCUAAAACCUGUCUUCUGCCUCUUCUGUGCAGAUCCAAUGGGAACAUAAAGAGGCCUGUGGCCACGGGGACAUGUGAGAGAGCGUGUCUGUCUGCAAAGAACAAUAGCUGCUCUUCUUCUGGUCCGCUCUUCUAUUCUGGAGCCUUAGAAGACACGAGUGACAGAGGAACAGAAAAGACACUCCUGUGGUCAGGCAUGAAAUUUAGCCACCAUAAUUCCUGGACCCCAAGGGACUCUGCAUUUGAGAUCUCUGGCUGAGAUCAUCAAGUGAUAAGAAUUCCAAUUUUUGUUUUCCUAAGUCUUUCUUUCAUCUGCCAAUCUACCCAACAUGAACUAGGGGCCACGUAGAGGGCCAGGCACAUUAAGGGGCUCACAGACUAGAGGUACACAUCUGUGAUUACAAUGUGCAUGGUAAAACUGGAUCAGCAGUUUCCAAGGACUGGAAUGUAAUAAAAUAUCCUCAAAACAAUAA